RNAcentral lists this unclassified non-coding RNA (342 nucleotides) under uncultured fungus. RNAcentral describes it as "sequence contains ITS1". The stretch from base 1 to 104 matches the Rfam family "5.8S ribosomal RNA", at positions 50 to 154 of the family's 154-position model. The record is from RNAcentral. Lineage: Eukaryota; Fungi.
AAACUGCGCGUCGGAAUGUGAACUGCAGGACAUAUGAGCAUCGACACUUUGAACGCAUAUUGCGGACUGUGGUUUGUCCACUGUCCAUGUCUGGCUCAGGGUCGGUUUGUCAUCCAUCCAGCUGAAUUGCUGGCAUUGGGCAUCUCCCUCUCUUCAUCGAGAGGGUGGCCUCAAGUUUGACUGUGCGAGCCUGCGUACGGAGUGCUGACUCUCGGGUUGUUUGCUCAGCCUGGGUUGGCGUUAAGCUCCUGCGUGGCUCGUGCUCGAGCCUUGAAAAAUUUAUUUUUCAUAGUUCUUUUAUUUCACGACCUGAGAGCAGGCAAGGUUACCCGCCAAAUUUAA